This is a non-coding RNA of Taeniopygia guttata (zebra finch), 472 nucleotides long. The record is from RefSeq and is a predicted model, not a curated record. Lineage: Eukaryota; Metazoa; Chordata; Aves; Passeriformes; Estrildidae.
GCUCGCCUUUGUUUUCUUUAACUCUGCGGGGUCUGGGGGGUUUCUUUUCUUUUUUCCUUCCCCCAACCCCCUUCCCCCGCACCGUCGCUAUUUCUUUUCCCCCGUUUAUUUAUUUCUCAUUUUCUCCCCCCUUUCCUCCCGCUCCCGUCUUUUCCCUCUCUCCGUAGGCGCGGCAGCGGAGGUGGCGCGGGGAGCGCGGAGUGCGGUGCGCGGUGGGAUUUGUUAAUCCGCCAGCAAGUCGGGACAGGUGCCGUGUCGUGGCAUGCCGUGCCGUAGUAUGUCGCGCCGUGUCGUGGCAUGUCGCGCUGUGUCGCGGCGUGCCGCGGGGGCGCGGGGCGGGCGCGCAUUAGCGGGGCGCGGGGGAGCGGCGGGGGCGGCAUUCAGCUGCGCCCGGAGUGGUGUGUCACUCGCGUGAGAGCCUGUGAUCAGCGCCGGCCUCUCUGGGAAGCAACACCAGUCUCGUUCCAGAAGA